Molecule: ribosomal RNA, 509 nt
Filed under: uncultured bacterium
Lineage: Bacteria
Description: bacterial SSU rRNA
Rfam family: Bacterial small subunit ribosomal RNA
Source: RNAcentral
GGGGCAGCAUGUCUUAGCUUGCUAAGGCGAUGGCGACCGGCGCGCGGGUGAGUAACACGUAUCCACCUGGCGUCUACUCUUGGACAGCCUUCUGAAAGGAAGAUUAAUACAAGAUGGCUCCGCAUGUUUAAAGGAUUCCGGUAGACGAUGGGGAUGCGUUCCAUUAGAUAGUAGGCGGGGUAACGGCCCACCUAGUCUUCGAUGGAUAGGGGUUCUGAGAGGAAGGUCCCCCACAUUGGAACUGAGACACGGUCCAAACUCUACGGGAGGCAGCAGUGAGGAAUAUUGGUCAAUGGGCGAGAGCCUGAACCAGCCAAGUAGCGUGAAGGAUGACUGCCUAUGGGUUGUAAACUUCUUUUAUAAAGGAAUAAGUCGGGUAUGCAUACCCGUUUGCAUGUACUUUAUGAAUAAGGAUCGGCUAACUCCGUGCCAGCAGCCGCGGUAAUACGGAGGAUCCGAGCGUUAUCCGGAUUUAUUGGGUUUAAAGGGAGCGUAGAUGGAUGUUUAAG